AAUAUAAAAAUAUAUAUUAUUUACAGUUUAUUAUUAAAUACAACUUUAAAUUGUGUUCAUCUCAUGGUUUGGCCACAAACAGCCGCUGCUGCUUAUAUAUAUAAUAUUCUGCCUUGGUCGAGAGGAGAUGACAGGGUCACAAAGUCUCCAUAGCAACCGUUGGACGCUAUCUACAUGUCAGCUGGAUAUCUGGAGGACGUGCCUGAAGAAAGCAUUUUCUGUCCUGCCAUUGCAAAGAGAAAUCCGUAGAGCUUGCUAAACAUUCGAUUGAUUUGCUCUGCCUCAACCACUCCAGGCGGGUUUGGCACAAAUGAAUAUGUGUUCUGAAAGUACAGUCGCGCUCAUCGAGACGGGUUCUCAAACGGCCGUGUGGCAUUUCAUCAUGUCUGCAGGUUACCUUAGAAACUCUGAGCUUAGUUGACCAAAUACUAAGCAGCUUUUUAGCCCUAAAAAGUUUUCUAUUAAAAUUAGUUUUCACACUAUAUUUCACAAUCUUCCUGAUGCCUUUUAGUUCCGUUAGGAGGCUCGGCCAGCACGUUGUGAAAUCGUCUCGUUUUCUGCGAGAAGAGAAGUUUGAUAAAACUCUUAUGACUGUGCAUGAUGAACAGAGAUGGAGUCAAGAUGUUAAGGCUCAAUUAGCAUAUAAAAUAAGGAAACUUACAUUUUGGUUCACUCCAGAGCAACUAACUUCUAUUGUUUAAAGUCUUUUUAAUGAACUGUUUGAUUAGUGUAAGAGUGACUUGAGUUCAAUUUAUGUUGUUU
Molecule: long non-coding RNA, 762 nt
Organism: Poecilia latipinna (sailfin molly)
Lineage: Eukaryota; Metazoa; Chordata; Actinopteri; Cyprinodontiformes; Poeciliidae
Exons: 2
Source: RefSeq, a predicted model, not a curated record